Molecule: long non-coding RNA, 1155 nt
Organism: Oxyura jamaicensis (ruddy duck)
Lineage: Eukaryota; Metazoa; Chordata; Aves; Anseriformes; Anatidae
Exons: 3
Source: RefSeq, a predicted model, not a curated record
AAGGGCUGAAAGAUCCAUCUCCCUCUUGAAGCUGGAUGGAUGAACUGAAGCAGCAGACAGAGCCUGGAGGGAGAAAGGAAAGAACUGGUCUUUAAAAUGAAAUAUUUAAAAUACUGCAUAAUCACAAGUUGCUAGAUCUUGUAAGCUUUGCAAAAUAAGUCCAUCUGCAUGUACUGGCCUUCUAUAAUGCUGAAGAAAGCUAAUAUUCUCAGAUCCAGGUUUUUUUAAGUCUUCUUCUGCCAUCAAAAAAGCUAAUAACAGCUAUCAGAAUAUUAGUUAAGAAUAAUUCUGUGCAUCACUGUUUUCCAGAAUAAAGCUGAAAAAAACAGUAGUUCUGAAGGGUAUGGACCUCAUCACCUACCACAAUAAAAGGCUCACUCGGAAACCUACUGACAUCACCUCUGACACCUAGUUUGCUCCUGGGUUGUUUUUGUUUCAUUUUUGUUUGUUUAUUUGUUUGUCUGUCUGUUGGGUUGGUUGGUUGCUUUUUGGCUUGUUUGUUUUUGUUUCUUUUUGCUUGUUUGUGUGUUUUUGUUGCUGUAAAUGCCAUGAAAUCCUUUAUUUUCUGUCUGAGGCUUGUUGCAGCUACUCAUUUCCAUCUGUUGAAACUCCUUGGUUUCUACCAUCCUGUUAAAGUUCAGUGUUACCACACUGAAAAAAAAAUAUAUAUAGUGUUUUAUCAAAAAUGUAGGGGCUAGGUGUACCAUUUAUUUUGCCGGGGUCUCAUAGUGCCACUUUUAUGUAUGUCCCAAAGACUUCAUGAGGUCUUUUCCUAUUAUGACUAACAAACAGAAUCUCUCAUAUAUUAAAUUAACUUGAAUGCAAAUGUAACUCUCUUCUUCUUUUUUUUUUAACUUCUCCUUUUUUUCUUUUCUCAAAGCAUUCAUAAGUUAUCAUAAUCAGGUAUGUACAGCAGCAAGACAGACAUCUCUGUCCUGUCAGUUCCUAAGUCAAAUCCAAGACGUCUUGCAAGAGCUCUGCUGGGGACACAGAACACAUUCCAGGAAAGGAUAAACAUUUUACAACUUUACAGCUGGUCAUAGCUUGGGGUAGGCUAACACAGAGUACAUCUGCUAAGUACAAGAUCACCCAACACCACAAAGUACUGGGGGGAAUGAAGAAAUACCUGUUUUAGAUAUUAUUCAGAAGAGACUA